RNAcentral lists this ribosomal RNA (258 nucleotides) under Escherichia coli. RNAcentral's name for it is "partial 16S ribosomal RNA". It matches the Rfam family "Bacterial small subunit ribosomal RNA", at positions 1 to 255 of the family's 1533-position model. Lineage: Bacteria; Pseudomonadati; Pseudomonadota; Gammaproteobacteria; Enterobacterales; Enterobacteriaceae. The record is from RNAcentral.
AAAUUGAAGAGUUUGAUCAUGGCUCAGAUUGAACGCUGGCGGCAGGCCUAACACAUGCAAGUCGAACGGUAACAGGAAGAAGCUUGCUUCUUUGCUGACGAGUGGCGGACGGGUGAGUAAUGUCUGGGAAACUGCCUGAUGGAGGGGGAUAACUACUGGAAACGGUAGCUAAUACCGCAUAAUGUCGCAAGACCAAAGAGGGGGACCUUCGGGCCUCUUGCCAUCGGAUGUGCCCAGAUGGGAUUAGCUAGUAGGUGG